CAACAGCUGCCUUGAUUGAGAUCUUGCUUCCUUAUGUACCUAUGAAGCCCACGGGGUUAGUCCUCAUUGGCCGAGCCAGUUACUUCCUGGUCAGCCAGCCAAUAGGAGCCCGAAUCCCCAAUGGCCUGGGCCUGCUCUUACUGGAAGAAUUAUGUGGCAGAUGGAAGAGGGCCACUUGAUGUGGAGAAGGCAAUGUGUGCUUCUUCUAUGCAGAAACUGUUACAUUAAAUCACAGAAUGUUAUCUGCUACUGUUCUAAA
Long non-coding RNA from Vidua macroura (Pin-tailed whydah), 259 nucleotides. RefSeq lists it as uncharacterized. The record is from RefSeq and is a predicted model, not a curated record. NCBI's taxonomy places the organism in Eukaryota, Metazoa, Chordata, Aves, Passeriformes, Viduidae. The transcript has 2 exons.